GGGCUAUUAGCUCAGUGGUAGAGCGCGCCCCUGAUAA
RNAcentral lists this transfer RNA (37 nucleotides) under Phytolacca americana (American pokeweed). RNAcentral describes it as "partial tRNA-Ile". RNAcentral also lists the same sequence under 39 other names. Lineage: Eukaryota; Viridiplantae; Streptophyta; Magnoliopsida; Caryophyllales; Phytolaccaceae. The record is from RNAcentral.